GAGUCUUACCGGCCUCACGGUUCAUUAUUACUUUUGGUACGCGCUAUGCCACUCUCAACUCGUACCGUGAGUAAUAGUGCACUGUGACUGGUGAACACAACUA
MicroRNA precursor from Danio rerio (zebrafish), 103 nucleotides. Ensembl annotates it as dre-mir-126b. Its record names the gene dre-mir-126b. NCBI's taxonomy places the organism in Eukaryota, Metazoa, Chordata, Actinopteri, Cypriniformes, Danionidae. The record is from Ensembl.